RNAcentral lists this ribosomal RNA (425 nucleotides) under uncultured prokaryote. Its description in RNAcentral is "bacterial SSU rRNA". It matches the Rfam family "Bacterial small subunit ribosomal RNA", at positions 355 to 774 of the family's 1533-position model. The record is from RNAcentral.
UGGGGAAUCAUGGUCAAUGGGCGAAAGCCUGAACCUGCGACGCCGCGUGAGUGAUGAAGGUCGUAAGAUCGUAAAACUCUUUUCAGGGAUCAUAAAGCCUGUCUGUCAACAACAGGCAGGUCUGACUCUCCCUGGAAGAAGCCCCAGCCAACUACGUGCCAGCAGCUGCGGUAAUACGUAGGGGGCGAGCGUUAUUCGGAAUUACUGGGUGUAAAGGGUAUGUAGUCGGCCCUUCAAGUCGCGUGUCAAAGUCCAGUGCUCAACGCUGGGUGUGCACGCGAUACUGACGGGCUUGGGGGCUGGAGAGGUGAGCGGAAUUCCCGGUGUAGUGGUAAAAUACGUAGAGAUCGGGAGGAACACCAGCGGCGCAGGCGGCUCACUAGACAGUUUCUGACGCUAAGAUACGAAAGCGUGGGGAGCAAACA